GGGGGUAUAGCUCAGUGGUAGAGCACCCGCAUACGUAUCGGAAGGUCUGGGGUUCGACUCCUUCUGCCUCCA
This 72-nucleotide transfer RNA is filed under the name Pristionchus pacificus. It matches the Rfam family "tRNA". Rfam says of the family: Transfer RNA (tRNA) molecules are approximately 80 nucleotides in length. Their secondary structure includes four short double-helical elements and three loops (D, anti-codon, and T loops). Lineage: Eukaryota; Metazoa; Nematoda; Chromadorea; Rhabditida; Neodiplogasteridae. The record is from Rfam by way of RNAcentral.